Molecule: ribosomal RNA, 209 nt
Filed under: uncultured bacterium
Lineage: Bacteria
Description: partial 16S ribosomal RNA
Rfam family: Bacterial small subunit ribosomal RNA
Source: RNAcentral
UGUCUCAGUUCGGAUUGGAGUCUGNAACCCGACUCCAUGAAGCUGGAUUCGCUAGUAAUCGCGCAUCAGCCACGGCGCGGUGAAUACGUUCCCGGGCCUUGUACACACCGCCCGUCAAGCCAUGGAAGCCGGGGGUGCCUGAAGUGCGCUGCCGCAAGGAGCGUCCUAGGGUAAAACCGGUGACUGGGGCUAAGUCGUAACAAGGUAUC